Molecule: RNA transcript, 2455 nt
Organism: Pseudopipra pipra
Lineage: Eukaryota; Metazoa; Chordata; Aves; Passeriformes; Pipridae
Exons: 12
Source: RefSeq, a predicted model, not a curated record
UCAAGAUAGCACCUGCUCCUUAGUUACAAAAAGUUCCUCACAGGAAAUUUUCAGGCGUGCCCAUAAAUCUCCUCGCUGUUUGUUUGGGAGAACAGGGUUUUCUCGUCUGUAACAGAAUAGUCGUGGCAUUUGCUAUGGAAUGCUGGUGGCAAUCUAGUCAGAAGAGGACCCCGUGCUUCACUAAUUUUCCCUUUUUGCUGUUGGGGGUGACUUCUUCCCAGGGAUGUUCUUCUUGACCCCCCGGGGCAAACGGAGGUGUCAGCGUCAGGAGCCAUCCUAACUGAGGCCCCGGCUCCCUCUUUCCCUUCGGUCGCCGUGGGUGUGCCGGACGCCUCUGGCAGGACUAACCCCGGGUCUUUUAUGUCCAGCGUGCUGUGCUGUGUGUGCCUGCAGUAUCCUGUCCAAGGCAAAGCUACCUUUCUUUCCUCGUGGGAAUGGACCGGCCGGGCUUUGGCAAUCUGGCCCCUCGAAAGACUAAAGUGACCUCUUCCAGCAGGGGAAGACUGAAGCAAGGGGUGCCAGGAAGAACUGGAGUCUCUGGAGAAUAAAAGCUGGAAGCGUGCCCCCGAAAAUCCCCAGCCCCGGGUGGUCAGUGGUCUGACUUGCACGGACCGGUGGCCUUGGCCAGGAGCGGUCCUGCGGGAAGCGCCUUUGCCCAGGCUGUAAUUUUAAUUUUCUCUUGGAUGCUUGGCAAAGCCCCCCUGGGUGAGCCCCAGUGCCUGGCAGGAGCGGAGCGGGCUUGCAGGGAGGCAUUCACCCGGUCAGCGUCAGGAACCAUCCUAACUGAGGCCUCGGCUCCCUCUUUCCCUUUGGUCGCCGUGGGUGUGCCGGACGCCUCUGGCAGGACUAACCCCGUGGCUUUUAUGUCCAGCGUGCUGUGCUGUGUGUGCCUGCAGGUGACGAAGCUUAUGGAAAAAAAGACCAAAGGCCUCGAGGGAUGUUCUUCUUGACCCCCCGGGGCAAACGGAGGUGUCAGCGUCAGGAGCCAUCCUAACUGAGGCCCUGGUAGGCUCCCUCUUUUCCUUCGGUCGCCGUGGGUGUGCCGGACGCCUCUCUGGCAGGACUAACCCCGUGGCUUUUAUGUCCAACGUGCUGUGCUGUGUGUGCCUGCAGUAUCCUGUCCAAGACAAAGCUACCUUUCCCUCGUGGGAAUGGACUGGUCGGGCUUUGGCAAUCUGGCCCCUCGAAAGUCUUAAGUGACCUCUUCCAACAGGGGAAGACUGAAGCAAGGGGUGCCAGAAAGAACUGGAGUUUCUGGAGAAUAAAAGCUGGAAGCGUGCCCCCGAAAAUCCCCAGCCCCGGGUGGUCAGUGGUCUGACUUGCACGGACCGGUGGCCUUGGCCAGGAGCGGUCCUGCGGGAAGCGCCUUUGCCCAGCCUGUAAUUUUAAUUUCCAUUGGCUGCUUGGCAAAGCCCCCCUGGGUGAGCCCCAGUGGCUGGCAUGAGCGGAGCGGGCUUCCAGGGAGGCAUUCACCCGGUCAGCGUCAGGAACCAUCCUAACUGAGGCCUCGGCUCCCUCUUUCCCUUCGGUCGCCGUGGGUGUGCCGGACGCCUCUGGCAGGACUAACCCCGUGGCUUUUAUGUCCAACGUGCUGUGCUGUGUGUGCCUGCAGUAUCCUGUCCAAGACAAAGCUACCUUUCCCUCGUGGGAAUGGACUGGGCGGGCUUUGGCAGUCUGGCCCCUCGAAAGACUAAAGUGACCUCUUCCAGCAGGGGAAGACUGAAGCAAGGGGUGCCAGAAAGAACUGGAGUUUCUGGAGAAUAAAAGCUGGAAGCGUGCCCCCGAAAAUCCCCAGCCCCGGGUGGUCAGUGGUCUGACUUGCACGGACCGGUGGCCUUGGCCAGGAGCGGUCCUGUGGGAAGCGCCUUUGCCCAGGCUGUAAUUUUAAUUUCCAUUGGCUGCUUGGCAAAGCCCCCCCUGGGUGAGCCCCAGUGGCUGGCAUGAGCGGAGCGGGCUUCCAGGGAGGCAUUCACCUGGUCAGCGUCAGGAACCAUCCUAACUGAGGCCUCGGCUCCCUCUUUCCCUUCGGUCGCCGUGUGUGUGCCGGACACCUCUGGCAGGACUAACCCCGGGGCUUUUAUGUCCAACGUGCUGUGCUGUGUGUGCCUGCAGAAUUGCCACGAGAGGAAAUACUUCAGAGGGGCUUCCCUCCAGAUAAGCCCUGAAUGUGCCAGGAGGUUUCAGCCGGGAGGAAAGGAGCUGUGGAAGAAAAGCAGCCUGAAAAUAGCCAGCAGGGAUCAUCAGAUUUUCCAGGCAAGAAGAACAAGGAGAGAGAGAUGAGGGAAUCGGGUUCCAAUUCCUAAUGAUUUGGUGGGUGCAGGAAUGAUUUGUGUGUGUUUUCCAGUCCCUUUUGAUUCCUGAGAUGAUUUUAAACUGAUGGCUUUAGCAAUCAACUAAAUCGGAGAUGUUGUUUUUGAGAGGAAAUGGUGCCAAAUAAAUGCAGAGUUUUGGGUCA